This 390-nucleotide ribosomal RNA is filed under the name uncultured bacterium. RNAcentral's name for it is "bacterial SSU rRNA". It matches the Rfam family "Bacterial small subunit ribosomal RNA", at positions 29 to 412 of the family's 1533-position model. The record is from RNAcentral.
AACGAACGCUGGCGGCGUGGUUUAGGCAUGCAAGUCGAGCGAGAAAGUCCUUCGGGACGAGUACAGCGGCGAAAGGGUGAGUAAUAUAUAGGUAACCUACCUCUUGGACUCGGAUAAUUCCUGGAAACGGGUUGUAAUACGAGAUCGUCCUAUUGGGUCGCAUGGCCCGACUGGUAAAUGGUAGCUCUGCUUCUGCCGAGAGAGGGGCCUAUAUCCUAUUAGCUAGUUGGUGAGGUAAUGGCUCACCAAGGCUUUGAUGGGUAGCCGGACUGAGAGGUUGGCCGGUCACACUGGGACUGAGACACUGCCCAGACUCCUACGGGAGGCUGCAGUCGAGAAUCUUCCGCAAUGGGCGAAAGCCUGACGGGGCGACGCCGCGUGAACGAAGAA